GGGAUUCAGUAAGCUGCUGCCUUCACUGUUUCCGGUUACCUCACCAGUGCGGCAGUGCCGUUUCUCCACCUCUUCAGCUACAAAUUGCAGUCACGACAUUCAACGAUCAAGAUGGCUUUAUCAACUAUUCGGACGGUUAAUCAUCUUCUUAAGCCUUUCACCGCCGCCAUCUCAGCCACCCGUCGCCUAUCGUCGGACUCCAACGCCACCAUCAGUGUGGAAAUCAGCAAACCGUACACCGCUCACAACAUUGAUCCUCCCUCAUCAAUCGUCGAAACCACACCUAAUGAACUCAUGACUUUCUUCGCAGACAUGGUGGAGAUGCGGCGUAUGGAGAUCGCUGCAGAUUCGCUCUACAAAGCCAAACUAAUCCGCGGAUUCUGUCAUCUCUAUGACGGACAAGAAGCGGUUGCUAUAGGCAUGGAAGCUGCUAUUACAAAAAAGGAUUGUAUCAUUACGGCUUAUAGAGAUCACUGUAUAUUCCUUGCACGUGGUGGAGGAUUAGUUGAGUCGUUUGCCGAGCUAAUGGGGAGGAAAGAUGGUUGUUCCAAAGGGAAAGGAGGCUCGAUGCAUUUCUACAAGAAGGAUAGUGGAUUUUAUGGAGGUCAUGGAAUCGUAGGUGCUCAAGUUCCUCUAGGAAUUGGAAUUUCUUUUGCGCAGAAAUAUAACAAAGAAGACCAUGUUACUUUUGCUAUGUAUGGUGAUGGUGCUGCUAAUCAAGGACAGUUGUUUGAGGCUUUGAAUAUGGCU
RNAcentral lists this unclassified non-coding RNA (750 nucleotides) under Hevea brasiliensis (rubber tree). The record is from RNAcentral. Lineage: Eukaryota; Viridiplantae; Streptophyta; Magnoliopsida; Malpighiales; Euphorbiaceae.